AUCUCUACAACUCUGGAAGUCUAACCGUACAGUAACUCUACCCAACUGACGUUACAAUGCUGUAUAUUAAAACCCACAAAGCGACUCCUUUUCAGAGCAUUAGGCAGGGGAAGAACUCAUCAUUCUUACUUUUCUUGGUCUCUGAUACAGAGAGAAAAUGGGUUCUCAGGUCUCUAAACAGGUAGCGAGGCGUAAAGCCAUCUCAACUGAGAAGAAAGCUCUCUGUGAUCUACAUGGGAGUUGUGGCGACACAUACCCUGGUUCCGAUUACCGUCCUGCAGACAGGAAGAAUUGGAUGGGUGGUCUCAACCCUGAGAAAGUUCAUAUAAAUAAGAUCGUAUGGCCUGGCACUCAUGAUUCUGCUACCAACAAGAUUGGCUUCCCGUUGAUCUCUCGUCCUUUUGCUCAGUGCCAAUCCUUGUCCAUCUACCAACAGCUUUGCAGGGGCGCCAGAGUUCUUGAUAUUCGGGUUCAGGAGGAUCGCCGUAUCUGCCAUGGAAUCUUGAAAACAUACAGUGUUGAUGUUGUCAUUAAUGAUGUCAAGAAAUUCUUAUCAGAGACUCAAUCAGAGAUCAUAAUUCUUGAAAUCCGGACAGAAUUUGGGCAUGAAGAUCCUGCAGAUUUUGACAAGUACUUGGAGGAACAGCUCGGAGAAUAUCUGAUCCAUCAAGAUGAUCAUGUUUUUGGCAAGACAAUUGCAGAAUUGUUGCCAAAGAGAAUAAUCUGUAUAUGGAAACCAAGAAAAUCACCACAGCCUAAACAUGGGGGCCCAUUGUGGAGUGCAGGGUAUUUGAAGGAUAAUUGGAUUGAUACAGAUUUGCCAUCAACAAAAUUUGAGAGCAACAUGAAGCAUUUGAGUGAGCAGCAACCAGCUUCAUCAAGGAAAUUCUUUUACAGGGUAGAAAACACUGUUACUCCACAGGCAGAUAACCCAAUUUUGUGUGUUAAACCCGUGACAGGAAGAAUUCAUGGAUAUGCUAGGAUGUUCAUAACACAGUGCUUCUCCAAGGGAUGUGCAGAUCGAUUGCAGAUCUUCUCCACAGAUUUCAUAGAUGAGGAUUUUGUGGAUGCAUGUGUGGGACUGACACAUGCAAGAAUUGAAGGGAAGGCUUAAUUAAUCUGUU
RNAcentral lists this unclassified non-coding RNA (1124 nucleotides) under Hevea brasiliensis (rubber tree). Lineage: Eukaryota; Viridiplantae; Streptophyta; Magnoliopsida; Malpighiales; Euphorbiaceae. The record is from RNAcentral.